AACACGACCUCUUAACCACGAAUUACGUGGUGGUGGCACGGAUUGUGUUGAAAUUGCGUGUCGGCACCACGGAAACAAGACCCAUACAAAGUCAAUGAGGCUAUUUUGUCGUGUGGGUGACACGGAUUCCCUGGUUUAAUAACGUCACACAGUGGGCGGCGGUAAAAGCUAUUACGUUGGUCCUUACUUAAUAUAAGCAGUGCUAUACGUUGGUCCUGAACAUAAAAUAAAUAUAGCCAAUUUAUUGCAGUGCUAUUACGUUUGUCCUGAACAUAAUACAUUCAAAGCAUAGAUUAAAUCGUACUAUACCAUACGAUUUUGCAGAAACGCUCGGGAAUUUAGGUGCUGUAAAUCCGGUGGACAGGACUCAUCUCGUUAUAGAUCAAGAUAAUUUAUAAAGAUCUUUAAGGGUCGGAAUAUCAGAUAGUUGACAUAGUUCAUAUUUUUAAUUAAAAAAGUAAAAAAGAAAUAAGAGGAAUAACAUUAUUGUUGUUGCGGUGUGUCACGUGACAAUCAUGACCCGUCGCCAUGGACACAAGGGGUCGGAUAUUUAAAGUUAAAUAUUUUUAACUUACGCGUGAAAUGGUUAAUUUUAAAAAUAUAUAUAUUCUAAGUAAACAACAACAGCCCAAGUUUAGUAAACAUUUUUUUAUUGAAACUAUAAAUAAAUAUUCUGCAUCCAUUAGGUGUGCCACUGUGGGUGGCUCUUGCACACCCGUGGCUACGCCCCUGCCGUGACCCAUAUUCGCACAUCAUCGCGAUGUUUAUCGUCAAUUUACAAACCUCGCCAGUCGCCACAUCUUUUUUCUUCACAUACAUCUCAUACUCCUCCAUCUACACUCUUCACAACAUUUAAACCAACGGCUCUUUUAACAGCCAUCACUUGCAAAAAUCUCCUACUCACUCACUCACUCACUCACUCACUCUCCAAUUCACUCAAGGUGCGUUCCAAUCGACCGUAAGUCGACCAUCGACCAUUAAGAGAUUAGCCUAUCCCCUGUAUGUCAUUGAUGCACUACUUCAAAGAUGUGAGAAAAAGAACAUACACCUGCGAGUAGUCUGUUACAUUGACUGUGUUGCUGCCUCACAUUUGCAGAAAUCAGGGAGGGCAUAUCACACAACAUUGCCUUGGCCGUACCAGCAUUUCAUGUUAAUGGACACAAAUUGCCCUGCCAGAUCAAGUACAGUACCAGAUGGCUUGAUGGGUUUGGGCUCACAGACGGGGAAGGAAUGAAAAGGCUGUGGUCUUUCCUCCAAAGAUUUGCCAGAGUCACAAAGGAGAUGACUCCAUCUCAUCGCCUUGACCUACUGACUGAUGCCCUUUUGCAUUAUGGACGGAGGAAAUCAACUGACCUAGAGGUGCAGCUCCUGCAAAGAGUAGACAAAGCAGAGAAAAUAUUGCUCAAGAAGAUAUCUCAUCUGUCAUCAGAGAGGCACCAGUGUUGAUUUCUGAAGGAGACAUGGAGAGAUGGAAAAAAGCUAGCCCAACAGAAACCAAUAAACACUGUCUGUAGAUGGAAAAGGGACUACAUCAUCAGACUGAUUCAGUUCUACAAGUUCAAAAUUGAGGACUCUGCUGAUCAUUGAGGAAAAAUACCGUAUUGGGAGAAGAUGGCAAGAGUCUGAUUCAAACUUCCAGUCUACCCUUAAAGAUGUGGACCGUGAGCUCAGAGUCCAACUGUAAGGCUAGAACUGAAUCAAGGGAGAGAGCAGUCGUCCUCCACCUGAGAAGAAUAUAUCCAGCUUUGCUUCAGAUGGGCAGGGCAUUGCCAUUAGACUCUCCAAGCAGGUAGCCAAUUGAUUUUCAGGAAUCAUGUGAUCCCUCUUGGCAUGUCUACUUCUGCUUUAAUGACACUAUUGAAGAAGAUGAUGUUUCGAGGAGUCUAAAAAGGCGAGGGAUUGAUGCCUUACAUUUGAAGAGUGCAUGCUUUACCAGGAAAUAUGAAGUCUAAGGGGCCAGUCACACCAAAAGCGUUUAUGGCAGUUGCAGGCACCUUUUUUGAAUGAUAUUCUAUGGGCAGGGCGUGUUUACACGCUGUUUAUGUGCGCCGAGCGCCGCGCGUUUUUUUGCCGCCUGCCGCGCACGCGUUUUUGAAGGAGCGCUGAGAGCGGAGAAGUGCCCGACGUCAUUCGGGUCUUUCCAUUGUCCAAUCAAAUGAGGGGAGAGGCGGGCCUUACGUUGUGGUGAGUGAAGUUUACAGUUGCUUUGAAGAACCGGACUCCACUCGCUCACUCUCUCCUGCGUGUUUGUGCACCCCUCACCCUCAAACAAGGUCAGAGCAAGCGCCCUCUUUUUAAAGUUUCUGCUAAUAUGACAGUUAACAGCAAAAGAGCGCUCAUGCUUCAAUGUUUGAUUGACAAGACAGCUGACUCGGUGGUUGCUUAGCAAUAUGAAAAGCCACGUCGCACUGCUCUUUUUUUGCAAGCGUUUAAAGCGCUUUUGGUGUGACUGGCCCCUAACUGAACACCCCAUCAGCAGCAGGCCUCUAACAUUUGGGCUCUAACAUCAAAGACACUGAGCAGCCUGGUGCAAAAGCUGCUCUCAUUCAACACCUCCAACAGCUGGAAAGAAAACUACAUCAAGCCAUUGUGAUGUUUCACCCACAUCUAUCGGACAUUGUUCCUGCAGACAACCCCCACUUGUGUCAGGCCCUCCCCAUGCCAAGCAUACAGACACUGGUAUACAAUGAUAAGAGUGAUAAUGAUGAAAAUGUGGAUAAAUAUGAUAACUAGCACUACAGAUUUUUUGUUAAUUUCUAGUCUGAUAUUGUAUUCUGUAAAAAGAAAGAUGUAAAAUGUAUAGUAUAUGUUGCAGCAUAUCAUAGAAACCUUUAUGGUGGUGUAAUAUAAUGUUCGCCUUACUUGUGCAAACAUGAUGUUUUACUAGGUCUGAUUUAUUUUAAAACGUAGGUACUGUUUUUAAGCACACAUAUUCACACUAGUCUGUGUGAGGACAAAAUUGUGUGUUUACCAUUGUGAUGUUACUUAUUUACUGUAAUGUACAAAUGUGGUCAAUGUGUGUAAGGUGUUUUGUUUUUGUGAGCUAAGUUAAAAUGACAAAGUAUUGAAUCUUGAAUCCUUUGAAACAAAUACUGUAAAAGUUUGUAAAAAAAUAAAAUGUUUUCCACAAUGA
Non-coding RNA from Misgurnus anguillicaudatus (oriental weatherfish), 3133 nucleotides. The record is from RefSeq and is a predicted model, not a curated record. Lineage: Eukaryota; Metazoa; Chordata; Actinopteri; Cypriniformes; Cobitidae.